This is a long non-coding RNA of Glycine soja, 3473 nucleotides long. RefSeq lists it as uncharacterized. The transcript has 12 exons. Lineage: Eukaryota; Viridiplantae; Streptophyta; Magnoliopsida; Fabales; Fabaceae. The record is from RefSeq and is a predicted model, not a curated record.
UUACGACACAGACAACGGCUUCGAAGUGCGCCUCUUUCUCCACAACUCAUCUUUGUCCCUACUCAUUUUCCAAUUCAUUCAUUCUUCCGCUAUUGCAGGUUUUCCAAUUCCAGCUCUAUUCCCUCUCUUCCAUUCCACCUCAUCAACAAAAGGUUUCAAUUCCUCUCCUAAAUUUUCAUAUAUUUAUUUCCUAGACUCUGAUUCUCUUCUUAAAUUUUGCAUAGAUUUUCGGAGCCGAACAAGAUACUCCAGUGGUCAAUGACUCUGAUCUCGUAGCCAUUUCUGACAAACUACGACUAGUCUCGGUCAACGACUCCGAACCGGAACCAAGCGCUGCCGAUUUGUUGAAAUCCAAUGAGGAAUUGGCCAGACUCUUGCAGGUAGAGGAGGAAGCGCUAAUGUUGCAGCAGUAUGUGGCAAGCCAAAAUCCUCGAGAAUUUGAUAGUAGAGUAUGGCCCUACGUUAGUCAAGUCCUAAUGUUGCAGCAGUAUGGGCUAUAUUUUUUUGCGGAAUAUGAUAUUAAAUGCAUAAUUGACUUUCAUGUUGUUCUUGGUUCCCAAAAUGGGAUGGAGCAUAGUGCAAGCAGAGAUGGAUUUACAGGCUAGCCAACUUCUCCUAAUUACAUUUCCGACUCAUUAUAUGUUAUUGAAUUUUUAGUUUCUAGGUAUGUUUUAAAUGCGCAAACAUAUUCUAAGAUUUUUCGUAUCAUCUAAUAUCUAAUAACCAAUUCUUCUAAAUGUGCACACAUCUUAAGCUAUGGUUUUUCCUUCUACAAUGCAACCUAUUCAAACUAUUGAAAUAUAAUUCUUUUGAUAUAAAGGUUGAUGAAUUGGACAAAGCAAUUUUUAUAGCCUCUAAAGAUCCUUCUUUGUAUGGCAUUGAUGAAGUGGAGGUAAAAAACCAGAGGAAGUGGACCAGUGAUACUCGCACCCAGGUAUCUAUAACAUGUAGAACUUGAGUAAGAGUUAGGAGAAUCACUGGUCCACUUCCUCAUAAAAAGGUAAAAUGAAAUUGUCUGUACUCUGUAGGCCUUAAUUAAAUUUCAGGUUGAGUGUUAGAUCAUUUGAAAUUUAAAUGUAUUUUUGCCUUCAACUAGAUAAAGUCCCUGACAAGUGUCUAAGUGAUAAUAUUAAACUCAAGAGAGAGAGAGAGAUUGGCUGGUGAUAUGAUCCCACUAAAUGAUAAUGUCAAAGCUCAGGGGAGAUAAAGUAAAUAGAAUAACUUGGCUUGAACAUAAUUAUAUUAAUAACCUAUGUGUGUCUGUGUAAUUUAGAUCUCAGUACUAGUUUUAGAUUGCUCUAUAAUCUAUUUUGUGUAAUCUUAUGAUAUGAUGUUGAAGAUUCAAACUGACUUGUUUCUCUAGGUAACUAGAAGGUACUGGAUGCUAAAAUGGUAUAUAUUGGGAUACAGUUUUGUCAUCCAAAAUUGGAAAAUCCUAAUGAAGGCUUUAGAAUAGCAAAAUUGAGUUCUGCCAUGAAUUUGUAGAAGGGAUUGUUAUGUUAUGAGAUUAUCUGCUAUUUGGGUUAUAUUGAUUUUUAGAAUUUCUAUUGGAGUAGGACAAGUAACAUGUGGAUCUGUAAUGGGCUAUGCAUUAAAGUUGAAAGUUUUUUGUUUUGGGCUUACUAAACAGAAAGUGCUAAGCAAAGGGACUUGCAGACAAGUGGAUGAGGACUAUAAGUUGAAUCACGGUUAUAUGAUAACAUUAAUUUUUGGGAAUCAUUGCAGAAUCGCAAGAUGGCUUUCAUUCACAUGGGGGCUGCGAAAUCUAUUUAAUGAAGGAAUUCACAAUACUCUCAAGAAGCUUGAGCUCAAUUUUUGGUGGCAUCUUUGUGUUGCCUGAGGAAAUUGCUAUAUAUGCUUCCACUCUAGGGAUAACACAAAUUCAAGCACACCAAAGAUCAUCUUUGUUCCAGGAGAUGUGGAUUUGAAGACAUUAUUGGCUCUUUUGGCUUUCAUGGUGUGCUACUCUUGGUUUUGCUAAUCCUUUUCCAAAGAUUCCUCCUUUUUAUAUUAUCUAUUCUCACUGAGUCACCUACUGCUAUGUAAAUGUGUAUUAUUUACUGCUAAUUUAUUCCAUUCUCCUUUACCCGUUACUUUUCUACUUUUCUCCCUUUCUUUAGUUUGGGGCUUUUCCUUUAAAAUAGUGGAGUAAAAGAAAACAUCUUUCCAGGUGUUGGAAAACUUGGUGGAAAAUUCAUUGCCUUAUCUCAGGUAUAGCUAUAAAAAGUACAGGGUUCGGUAAGCCUUUUCAUCCCCUUGGACAUGGACUAUGCUGGGUUUAUUUUGUUAACCAUGUUACCUGUUACCAAUAUACAAUAGCUAAUUUAUCUUUUAUUUCUCAAGACACAAGAAGAAUGAGAAAGGAGAAGCAAGAGGAAAGUUCCAAUUUACUUCUAGAGUAGAGAAAGAAUACCUGAAGCCCCUCUUACUCUGCUAGCAUUGGUGAGGAGCUUGAAGAUGGGCUAUUUGAUGCGUCCCAAGCCUAUCCUGUUUUGCAGAUUUCUUAGAAUUGGCAUUGCAGUUUGGAAUGAUUUUGAUGUUUGCUUGCGCAUUCCCACCUACAUUUGCUUUUGCGGCUGUGAACAACCUUAUGGAGAUCAGGACAGAUGCAUUGAAGCUGCUAGUAAUUUUGAGGCGGCAUGUUCCUCGUGCCGCUGCAACAGUAGGAGUCUGGCUUAACAUAUUUCAGUUUCACCAACUGUGCUAUUUUAGCAUGGCUAUAUGAUGAGGAGGGAAAAUGGAAAAUAGAGCCUGGACUUGCAGCAAUUUUAAUCAUGGAGCAUGUCCUCUUGUUGACUAAGUUUGGUUUCUCUCACUUCUUUCCUGAGGUGAUUGUUUUGCUUCCCAAAAUGUUUGGGCCACAAGAGCAGAAUCUGCAUUCUCAAGGUGGAAGCGGCAAUAUGAUUUUCAAGAGUGGACCACUUUUCAUAUCUUCCAAAGAAUAAAUCACUCUCUUUUGCAUCUUUGCAAACCUCUCCUCCAUUAUGAAAACCUAUAGAAAUCAUAUAGAAUUUAUAAAAUACACUAACUCCACAAUGCAAUUCCUCUUUACAGGUUGUUGUAACUUUUCAAAGGCCAUGUUGCAGCAGAUCUCUAACUUUGUGCAGCAUAAUAAUAAGUUCAUGUAUAUUUAAUUAAAAAUUAUAAUCAACAAAGAGUGUAAUUAGGAACUAGUUUUAUUAUUAUUAUAUAACAUUUACCUACAGAAGACCGUAGGUACAAGUAAACUGACUUUUACCUACAGUUAGAGAUUAUAGGUAUAAAUUAAUAUUUUUUACCUACACUUUUGAAAUAGUAGGUGUUACCUAUAGUGAUAGUUAAAUUUGACUGUAGGUAAAAAUAUAUCCGUAGGUAAAGCCUAUAGUGACAGACUAUUAGUUGUCACUGUAUACCCCCUCAAAGUUGACGCAAAAAACGUCUGUAGGACAAAGUCCUUUAUACAUCUACCUACGGAUUUUGGACUUCUAGUGAUA